CUUCAACAUCCCUCUUAGAUGAAGUUAUUGAUUGAAAAUCAUUUAAGUUUGCCCCAUGGUAAAAGAUCAAGUCCUCAGAAAGAUCUCCAAAGUGUUUACGGUUUGUUUUGUUUUGGUAAGUUUACCAUGAUUUUGCUUGAAUUGCUCUCCGUUGAUCUUCUCAGCUAAGAUGGAGGUAGAGAGUUGCACAGUGGAAGAGGGCUGCAUGUAAGAAGGCAGUUCUGUCUCAGAGGACAAAAGGCCUGGGAGCACCCAGACAGACAGUCACUGCAUGGAGGUCACUCCCCUCCCAGUGGCCACUGUGGAGACAUUUCACAGAAAUGCUUGCUGGACCAUUCAGGUUCAGAGUUGGGACAAAACCGAGAACUCAUGGGGAUAUUGGACAGGAGUUAGGAAAUGACCUUCUCACACAACUGGGGCAGUGGGGGAGAACCCUGGGCUUGAGACUUGCAAUCCACCACUUGCCCCUGCCCCUGCCCCUGCAGUGUGGCCGCUGUUACCUUUUCCUGCAACUCUGCCUUCUUGAGUCCAAAUGUCUUCGAAAGGGGCAAAUGCUCGUAAGUGCCGACAGGGUGUGUUUCAGUGAAUGUUUGCAGUGUGCACCGGUCUGGCUGAAGGCCUCUUCCCUUCCCCAACACCCUCCCAUCGUGCAAAAUUACCCUGCCCAGCAGGGAGUGACUUGUGUGUCUCAGAAGAUUUUGUUGCUGUGCUCUGAGUUCUCACUCCUCAUCUCCUUUGACCAGUUUCUUCUAAUACUCCCCUUGUUCACAACACAGAACAUGAGUGCUCUUUCCUAUCAUUUUGACACUAAUAAACGGACAGUGAUUCUCAGUGUGGAAAUGAGAAUGAAGUUUUUUUUAAAGACAGGCUACAAUAAUUCCCAUGCAGAGAACCACAUGCGAUGACACUGGAUUCCAGACAGCAAGAACGUAUGGUGAAGAUGAGGCCAACAGUGAGCUGAGAGAGGCCAGCCAGGGUGUGUUUCAGUGAAGAUGAGAAACAAUCAGAUAACACCUGUUUCCUCCAGGAAAGAAAAUGUGGCCAGGGAAAAGAGAUGGGA
This 1060-nucleotide long non-coding RNA is filed under the name Homo sapiens (human). Its description in RNAcentral is "non-protein coding LINC00863:9". Lineage: Eukaryota; Metazoa; Chordata; Mammalia; Primates; Hominidae. The record is from RNAcentral.